This 795-nucleotide unclassified non-coding RNA is filed under the name Hevea brasiliensis (rubber tree). The record is from RNAcentral. Lineage: Eukaryota; Viridiplantae; Streptophyta; Magnoliopsida; Malpighiales; Euphorbiaceae.
GGAGGAGCUAGAACGUGUAUUGCUUCAGGUUAUUGGUGCAAUUUCUAUGGAAGAAAGCAAUGAAAAAUCUGCUCAGUUAUUCUCUGCUGAUUGCAAGUUGCAGACUAUAACCAUUGGGGCCCAUGAAGCCUUCCCUAAAGCUCUUGCUGUUCCUCAGUAAUAAGCUUUUGUAACCCAAAUGUUGGCGGAUGCCACACCUAUCAAGUUAACAGGAUUUUUUUUCUUUCCUUUUUUUUUUCUUGGGUUAACAAGAAGCAAGAAAGUUUGUGAUGCUGCUUCUGAUCAAGAAUGGAUCCAAGGAAUGAAUCCAUAUACAAGUAUGCUUUAACUUGUAAAAUAUUGAUAGUCUCUGCUUCUGUCUUAAGUCCUGCCAGUAGUAGCCAACAGGGAAAACUCAGCCAAAAAUAGCUCAGAAGCCAGAAAGAGCAAGCUUUCCAAUAUAAUUGCAGAAAAUAGAAAAUUAGACUGCCAUCCAUUUUCUGGCAAAACCUCUGAUUAUGUGAAUUGUUUUUUCACUGUCUUACUAGACUUGUGAUGGGCAGCAUCGGCAUCAAGGAAGAAUAAACAAUUGUGCAGUUAAGAGUUUCAUACCUCUUAAGAUUUGAUUCCUUGAGCAAAAUUUCAAGAGAAUAUCCACCAUAUAUUCUAUGCCCAUUCUUUAACACUUGUUUUUGUAUUGUGGUAGUUCCUGGAAUUUUCCACACAUAUAUUAACCUGCACCUACCUGAGUUUUUGAAAUUCCAAAAUAUUGCUUUGUUGUUGCCAUGGCAGGUUGCCAGACUUCCAAUUAAUAAG